This 549-nucleotide ribosomal RNA is filed under the name Trichoderma paraviridescens. RNAcentral's name for it is "eukaryotic LSU rRNA". The stretch from base 160 to 313 matches the Rfam family "5.8S ribosomal RNA". The record is from RNAcentral. Lineage: Eukaryota; Fungi; Ascomycota; Sordariomycetes; Hypocreales; Hypocreaceae.
UGUGAACCAUACCAAACUGUUGCCUCGGCGGGGUCACGCCCCGGGUGCGUCGCAGCCCCGGAACCAGGCGCCCGCCGGAGGGACCAACCAAACUCUUUCUGUAGUCCCCUCGCGGACGUUAUUUCUUACAGCUCUGAGCAAAAAUUCAAAAUGAAUCAAAACUUUCAACAACGGAUCUCUUGGUUCUGGCAUCGAUGAAGAACGCAGCGAAAUGCGAUAAGUAAUGUGAAUUGCAGAAUUCAGUGAAUCAUCGAAUCUUUGAACGCACAUUGCGCCCGCCAGUAUUCUGGCGGGCAUGCCUGUCCGAGCGUCAUUUCAACCCUCGAACCCCUCCGGGGGUCCGGCGUUGGGGAUCGGGAACCCCUAAGACGGGAUCCCGGCCCCGAAAUACAGUGGCGGUCUCGCCGCAGCCUCUCAUGCGCAGUAGUUUGCACAACUCGCACCGGGAGCGCGGCGCGUCCACGUCCGUAAAACACCCAACUUCUGAAAUGUUGACCUCGGAUCAGGUAGGAAUACCCGCUGAACUUAAGCAUAUCAAUAAGCGGAGGA